This 427-nucleotide ribosomal RNA is filed under the name uncultured bacterium. RNAcentral's name for it is "partial 16S ribosomal RNA". It matches the Rfam family "Bacterial small subunit ribosomal RNA", at positions 355 to 774 of the family's 1533-position model. The record is from RNAcentral.
UGGGGAAUAUUGCACAAUGGGCGCAAGCCUGAUGCAGCCAUGCCGCGUGUAUGAAGAAGGCCUUCGGGUUGUAAAGUACUUUCAGCGAGGAGGAAGGCGUUGUGGUUAAUAACCGCAGCGAUUGACGUUACUCGCAGAAGAAGCACCGGCUAACUCCGUGCCAGCAGCCGCGGUAAUACGGAGGGUGCAAGCGUUCAUCGGAAUUACUGGGUAUAAAGCGCACGCAGGCGGUCUGUCAAGUCGGAUGUGAAAUCCCCGGGCUCAACCUGGGAACUGCAUCCGAAACUGGCAGGCUAGAGUCUUGUAGAGGGGGGUAGAAUUCCAGGUGUAGCGGUGAAAUGCGUAGAGAUCUGGAGGAAUACCGGUGGCGAAGGCGGCCCCCUGGACAAAGACUGACGCUCAGGUGCGAAAGCGUGGGGAGCAAACA